Molecule: non-coding RNA, 212 nt
Filed under: Clostridiales bacterium
Lineage: Bacteria; Bacillati; Bacillota; Clostridia; Eubacteriales
Description: T-box sequence
Rfam family: T-box leader
About the family: Uncharged tRNA acts as the effector for transcription antitermination of genes in the T-box leader family. T-boxes are found upstream of many aminoacyl-tRNA synthetase genes and some amino acid biosynthetic genes usually in Gram-positive bacteria.
Source: RNAcentral
UAUAAUGCAAUGAAGGGAAGAGUAUUCUGAUCCCCUGUUUCACAGAGAGCUUCCGUACGCUGAAAGGAAGUAAACAGUUUUCAGAGGAAGUACAUCCCGGAGCAGUCACCUGAAAUCUUUCAGUAGGGAUGACACGGUGCGCCGUAUACAGCGCCUCAGAGAGCAGGACAUACCUGCUGAAUGGAAGUGGUACCGCGGUUUUCGCCUUCCGG